CCAUGGCCCAUUUACAGCCAGCUCCACCCGCCAACAUAUAACUGCCAUUGUCCUAUCCAAGGAAAAUUCCUGCUUCCAAAGGGACAAAAGUGGUAAGCUUAAGCUUUGGAUCUACGAGAAAAUGGGAAGGCGAAAUGAAAUAGUGCAGGCAGUCUGCAUGGCGUUGAAUCGUGCCAGCUGGCUACUUAACGAGCAGACAAGAAAGAAAUGAAAAGGGGUUAGUUAAACAAUGUCCCUGACUGCGAGGCAUGACGCAGGCCGACGUCAAAAGUCUUGUGGACUUAUACAACUUAUUUCCAACAGAUAAAAUGCAUAGAAAAGUACACCAGAGGCAGAAAUGCUUUUACUUGUUGCCCCCUUUGCUUCCCUGACAAUGCCUGCCUGCCAGGGGAGUUGAACCAUCAUGAUCAUGCUCAUACCAUCUUGCUAAAAACAUCAGGUAAUCCCUAUUUUGAUGCACAUCAUCAUCUUGGGUUUUUUCCUCCCCUCCCCUCAGAUCCUGUACAAUUCUUCUUCUUCUUCUGCAGCUUUCGAUUGUGAUUGAUUUCUAUGUCAAAAUCUUGUCUUUAUGCUUCUUAUCACCUUCUUGUGAGCAGUUUCCAUCUGGGUUUUCUUUUCAUUGCCAAGACAGCAUGCUUUAUUGGUAUGUUAAAAACCGACUUCUCUUAGAAGUCAUUAAGGAUUUUUCUCUGCUUUUCAAUCUCAAGCUGUUUCCUACUUAAUAUUCUUGAUUGUGACACUUGAUGCGCUGGACAAUCGAUUGAUUCUCUUAUUGGAAGCCCUGUGCUUCUUUGCAUAUAUUCUCGAGUUGUCAUAUCGAUUGUGGUGUGGGAAUCCUGCUUUUUCGUCGCGAUUAAUUAAUAUUGUUAUCAAUAAAUUAGUAUGAUAAUUAAUUAGUUAGCUUCAUUGCAUAAAAAGAUUGCUGCUUGGUAGCAGUGGUGGCGCUUAUUUAUGAAAAGUUAGAGUCUUGUCCUGCAGAUGUGCGCUCGCUUCUGAAUUGUGAUGCUUAGCUGUAAGUAGCUUUUGUUAGGAGCGCCAGGGAUGAACGGAAACAUGGAUGAUGGGGAGGUAGAGCUUUCAGAUCAUGUUCUACUAUCCAACCCUGAUUCAUCUAGCAAUUUUCAGGAUUCAACAUCUGUAGAUUUAAUAAUUGACGAAUUCUUCAAGAACACCAGAACAUGUACUCACACUCACACUUGCAACCCACCUGGCCCUGAUGCCGCACAUACACAUACCUGCUACCACACACAUACCCAAGUUAUUACAUCUGAAGAGGAUGAUCACCAGAACAAUAAGAACAGCUCUAGUUUGAAACCAAGGAGGCCUUCAGGGAAUAGAGAAGCAGUCCGGAAGUAUAGAGAGAAAAAGAAGGCACAUACUGCUUAUUUGGAAGAGGAAGUUAAGAAAUUGCGCUUACUGAACCAGCAACUAGUCAGAAAAUUACAAGGACAGACAACACUUGAAGCAGAGGUUCUAAGGCUCAGAAGCCUUUUGGUAGACCUUAGAGCAAAGAUUGAUGGUGAGCUGGGUGUUUUCCCCUUCCAAAAGCAGUGUAACAAUGCCACUAUUUUGAAGGAAGGUGAUUGUGGGCUGCAAUCUACUGAUGAGUCAAUCGGUCUACAAUGUCAGACCGAUUUGCCAUGCUUCCAUCCACAUGCAGGAUCGUCAUCACAGGCUAGCAUUGGUGGAAGCGAGAAAAUGAAUAUAUCCUGGGAAGGAAACUGUCAGCCUGCAAUUGUAAAUUGUCAAGCUAACAUAAAUCAGAUGGAAGUGUUGAAGGACACCACGUGAACGCAGUCAAAAUCUUGGUGUCAUGUGCACCCCAAGAUGAGUAACUGCAAGGGAAGAGCUCAUUUUCAAGGGUAGUUGAAGAAGUAGGUAAAAGCAUGGCAGCAUCUCUGUCGCUAUGGACAAUUGGACUGCAUACAUGUUGUAGGAGGCCGACUGUGCGCUUAUCAGAAAACACAAGUUAAUUGGGCCCAACUCUCUUCGUUUUCGAAGAGGAGAUGCAGCUGGAUCAGAUAGUGCCUUCGUAUUUGGACCCAAUUCCGUUCAGGUUAGGGCCGACUACGGUCUGCAUUUUACCAUCGUAUGAAACCAGGCCUUUUAAUAGAAAUCACUCACGCAACAAGAGGACGAAAGCCUCUCUCGCUUUCAAGCGUCAUCCGGGAUGUCUGACCUGAAAAGAAGUUUAGACCAAAAAUUGGACUUAAUUUAAGUUAUUAUUGGCGAAAUAUGGACCCAAAUCAAAGAGUUGUGAACAAUCAUUUUCUUCCUAAGAAGUCUUACCUGCUAGUACUCAUAGUGAAUCGAUACUCCUGCAUAAGAUAAGUAACAUUUCAGAGGGGAUUUAUAAAGGAAAAAAAGACCACAAAAGCAGAAGAAGCAGACAGGUUGAACAGUGCAGAGUCACAUCCAGCAAAGGAAAGCUGAGCCAACCUCUCUCUCUGACUUCAUUGAAUGGGCAAUUUGGCCAACGAAGCAGUGAGGGGUCCCAUGCAUCCAAAUCAUUCAUGCUCACACUGCUUCCCCCAUUUGCCUUUAAAAAUAAAACAAAGUAGAAAUAAAUAUGUAUACGGGGCUUUCAUUUCAUUUCAAGACAAAUCAGGCAGCACAGGAGGCCACAUGGGUUAUCCUGUUCCUCCUCCGUCCUUCUGUCUCUCCUUGCCCUAUUUUUAUUUCCAAGUUUCCUCCCUUGUUCUUUUAAUAUCUCGAUUCUCGGCUUGUCUUUUCUUUU
Molecule: non-coding RNA, 2737 nt
Organism: Theobroma umbraticum
Lineage: Eukaryota; Viridiplantae; Streptophyta; Magnoliopsida; Malvales; Malvaceae
Source: RefSeq, a predicted model, not a curated record